This 403-nucleotide ribosomal RNA is filed under the name uncultured bacterium. Its description in RNAcentral is "partial 16S ribosomal RNA". It matches the Rfam family "Bacterial small subunit ribosomal RNA", at positions 30 to 526 of the family's 1533-position model. The record is from RNAcentral.
AUUGAACGCUGGCGGCAGGCCUAACACAUGCAAGUCGAGCGAGCGGCGGACGGGUGAGUAAUGUAUGGGGACUGCCCGAUAGAGGGGGGUAACGACUGGACACGGUGGCUAAUACCGCAUACUAUCGGAUAACCCAUAUGGGAGUAGAUAGUAGGGAAGGUAAUGGCUUACCUAGGCGACGAUCCCUAGCUGGUCUGAGAGGAUGAUCAGCCAAACUGGGACUGAGACACGGCCCAGACGCCUACGGAGGCAGCAGUGGGGAAUAUUGCACAAUGGGCGCAAGCCUGAUGCAGCCAUGCCGCGUGUAUGAAGAAGGCCCUAGGGUUGUAAAGUACUUUCAGUCGGGAGGCGUUACCGGCAGAAGAAGCACCGGCUAACUCCGUGCCAGCAGCCGCGGUAAUAC